Lactuca sativa (garden lettuce) is the source of this 2962-nucleotide non-coding RNA. The record is from RefSeq and is a predicted model, not a curated record. NCBI's taxonomy places the organism in Eukaryota, Viridiplantae, Streptophyta, Magnoliopsida, Asterales, Asteraceae.
UGGUCCUCUGAUUAUGGAUGGGACUGAGUCGUUGGGUCGAUGUGUACACCAGGGCGGACACAUGAUCAAGUUAGUGCCUUGCUAUGUGUCCUACUCUACAUCCUUAUUCGCAUCGUCAUCGAAUCCCUUUCACUGUUUUCUGCCACGUCCCCAUUCACCGCUUCAUCUUACCUUUUCACCGACUUAUUCUCUGUCUCUCAUCUUCCUAUUCGUCUGCUACUGCUUCUCUUCCCCAAAACUUCGUCGAUAUCUCCUCUUCGGUAUCGAUGUCCACCACUGCAGAAGAACCCGACGAACAGCCAUCAGACGUGUUUUAUAUAGAGGCGAUUUUGAUUUUUCCCACCCACCUCCACUGAGUCUGUUGAAAACUCUUCGCCCGCUUCCAACUUUCUGCUGCCCUUGCUGAAAAACUGUCACCGAUGAUUUCCUCCCCCUAUUCUACUUCUCAUCAUCUUCCAUUUACCCGCCAUGGACCGACCGUCUGUGACAGUGGUCGUCGGCGCCGCCCUAGGCGGAGACCACCUCAUCACACGGAAGGAGGAAGCCCCCAACCAGCAACGGAACUUGACCGUUGUCAAGUCGAUUAUAAAGAUUCAAUAUGUGGCGGCGGUGGUAAUGUAUGCCUAAAAUAACCAUCGACCAAGAAUGGGUCGUCGACGCUGAAAGUCCCGGUUCAUGCCUUCAACAUCUGCAGCUGUUUUCCACAUGGAAUCCGUCUGCCAUCGCUAUGUAAUUUGUGUUUGGUUUGACAUUUCUAAGAUCGUUUGUUUCUUAUUCACACCGAAUUGACUGAGUUUGUAGAUUGUAUGUUCCUACUUGAGUUUUCGUUUUCUCUCUAUAUCACCGUUUCUCCAUCUGGUAGGUAACACUGCAAUGCCCUGUGCCCACCAACUGUUUGAUAAAAAUCCUGUUAUUGUUGAUCUUCCCUUUUCAUUUUUUCUUUGUUUUAUAACGCAUAUUUGUGAUGGAUUAGUUUAAAAGCUGAAUUUCUGUGAAAGGAACACUAAACUCUAUCUCCUUAACCUAUUUUUGUACAGAAGCUGCCAAUUUGUUGAAGAAUCUGUCACUGGGUUCUCAAUCAAAGACAUUUUUUUGGAUUGUUGAAAGAAAUGUUACUCAAUCUACUGUUAAUCGCCAUUAUACAGUCAAUGUUGCUCAGUUAUUCUUUCAUACCCUCUUAUGUCACCCCCUGAAAUUCGCAGUCCUCUAACAUGUUAUGGGAGAGACAGAGAGAAUUCCUUGCAAUGACAUAAGGAAAUGGUGAAGCUAUAAAUGGUUAGUAUAAUGAUAUAAGUGGUUUUAUUUAUUUUCUCCUUACAUCAGUUUAUUUAUCUAAUAAAGGGAUGUUAAGAUACAGAGGCUACCCAAUUGAAGACUUGGGUCAAGUAGUUAUUUCCUAGAUAUAGCCUAUCUUUAAGUAAGUUCUCUUUCCCAUCUCUUUAGCAUGAAAUGAUAAACUAAGGAUGAUUGUAUUAAGAACUAUUGAAACAAAGAGGAAAGAUACGUUGGGUACGAAAAAUAAUUAACGACGCAAGAUUUUUAUAAAUCAAUAACAAGAUUUAAAAUUUUGGAAAAAAAAUUCAAUUUAAAUUUAACAUGGGUCUAAAACUUUCAUUUUUUUUCUUAAUCAAGAUGAUUAGGUUUAUUCACUGUAUUUACCCCAAACCAAAAACUAUAGUUAAGUGCAAAUUAUACACUGUAUGGACCAAAAAUGUAAUUAUUGAAAUUAAAAACUACAGGGACCAAAAAUGCUAUUAGGCCAUUUUCUGAUAUUUAAAAGGAUACUAUAAUUUUAUUUUUGGGAUUAUAGUAAAUUCAGUUUUAAGGUUACUUGAUUUGUGAAUUUACAAGUUUGUGGGUUGCCAAAUGAGAAAGAAGCUGUUUAUGGAGCACUUGAUUAAUGGACGGCUUAGGAGUCAAAAUUCCCAGUCAUAGCAGCAGCCAAAGCUCUUAAUAUCCUAAAAUGUCGGAAACAAUGGAACCGUGCCAUUCAAGUAUUAAUAUCCUAAUUUACACUUUUGGUCCCUGUAGUGUGCUAUAUAGAUUUUCUUGGAUAUAUUUCAAAAACGAAUCUUCAUUAACUAUAUGAUCACAUUGAAAUAGGAACCAAGAGGAAAAAAGACGAUAUACCACAGGGACCAAAAGAUAUAAUUCCUGUUGACAUAUUCCAUUGAUUUUACAGGUGGCAAAAUGGAUGUGUAGGAAAGGUCAAGGAAUGACAAUGGGAACAUUUGACACCCUCCUACACGCAUUUGAUAUGGAGCAAAGAGUAGAUGAAGCCGAGUCAUUUUGGAACAUGAUUUUCCAUACACAUGAAAGAUCAAUCUCAAAAAGGUUGUUUUCAAGAAUGAUAUCCAUUUAUGCUCAUCAUAGCAUGCCACAAAAUAUCAUAGAGAUAUUGGAGCUUUCAUCUUCACAAAGCCCUGUUUAGUUCAUCUGUUUAUGUGUAUCCGAAGGUUGAACCUAUUUGUAUUUAGGUCAAACGCAAGAACUGCGAAAAGGAUGGUUAUUCAUGUUGGAGGUGGUAUGUUGUCCCUUAUAGUGCUCCUUCUUCCUUUGAACGAAAAUUUAAACAAGAGCUUCCACUUUUACAUGAUUAUCUUCAAACAGCUUACAGCUCCAACUAACAAGACAUUCACAGAACCUAUGGACGAAUGAUGUGUUGACAUCUGGCUUUUCACAUUGCUGUAACAAGAAAGCUAAAAUAGAGCAAUGUAUUUUCAUUUGAAUGUUUAGCUUUAUGUAAUUUGGAUCCUUUUUUUUCUGCAAAGGGCAAUGUCCUUUAUUUUUAUUAUUUUAAGCAUCAAAAUUGUAAAAGGGCGAAUUGCAGAGAAUAACAACAUACUUAACUGUGGCUACCAAUUAAGACAAUCUACUAUACAUGUAUACAAAAAUGACACCUUCCAACCCCCGCAACGCGGGGGAACGCAUCUAGUUAUUAUUAUUAUUAUUAUUAUUAUUA